GCGGGAAUGGCGGAAUUGGCAGACGCGCAGGACUUAGGAUCCUGUGUCAUAGACGUGGGAGUUCAAGUCUCCCUUCCCGCACCA
This 84-nucleotide transfer RNA is filed under the name Synergistaceae bacterium. Its description in RNAcentral is "tRNA-Leu". It matches the Rfam family "tRNA". Rfam says of the family: Transfer RNA (tRNA) molecules are approximately 80 nucleotides in length. Lineage: Bacteria; Thermotogati; Synergistota; Synergistia; Synergistales; Synergistaceae. The record is from RNAcentral.